This 301-nucleotide ribosomal RNA is filed under the name uncultured bacterium. RNAcentral describes it as "partial 16S ribosomal RNA". It matches the Rfam family "Bacterial small subunit ribosomal RNA", at positions 512 to 808 of the family's 1533-position model. The record is from RNAcentral.
CAGUCCCGCGGGAAUACGAAGGGUGCAAGCGUUACUCGGAAUUACUGGGCGUAAAGCGUGCGUAGGUGGUGGUUUAAGUCCGUUGUGAAAGCCCUGGGCUCAACCUGGGAAUUGCAGUGGAUACUGGGUCACUAGAGUGUGGUAGAGGAUAGUGGAAUUUCCGGUGUAGCAGUGAAAUGCGUAGAGAUCGGAAGGAACAUCUGUGGCGAAGGCGACUAUCUGGGCCAACACUGACACUGAGGCACGAAAGCGUGGGGAGCAAACAGGAUUAGAUACCCGAGUAGUCCCUGUCUCUUAUACA